CAGUAGCCGCGGGAAUACGAAGGGUGCAAGCGUUACUCGGAAUUACUGGGCGUAAAGCGUGCGUAGGUGGUGGUUUAAGUCCGUUGUGAAAGCCCUGGGCUCAACCUGGGAAUUGCAGUGGAUACUGGGUCACUAGAGUGUGGUAGAGGAUAGUGGAAUUUCCGGUGUAGCAGUGAAAUGCGUAGAGAUCGGAAGGAACAUCUGUGGCGAAGGCGACUAUCUGGGCCAACACUGACACUGAGGCACGAAAGCGUGGGGAGCAAGCAGGAUUAGAUACCCCUGUAGUCCCUGUCUCUUAUAA
RNAcentral lists this ribosomal RNA (301 nucleotides) under uncultured bacterium. RNAcentral's name for it is "partial 16S ribosomal RNA". It matches the Rfam family "Bacterial small subunit ribosomal RNA", at positions 509 to 809 of the family's 1533-position model. The record is from RNAcentral.